AGAGUUUGAUCAUGGCUCAGAUUGAACGCUGGCGGCAUGCCUUACACAUGCAAGUCGAACGCGAAAGGGGGGCAACCCCCGAGUAGAGUGGCGGACGGGUGAGUAAUACAUCGGAACGUGCCCAGUAGUGGGGGACAACCUCGAGAAAUCGAGGCUAAUACCGCAUACGACCUACGGGUGAAAGCGGGGGACCGCAAGGCCUCGCGCUAUUGGAGCGGCCGAUGUCCGAUUAGCUAGUUGGCGGGGUAAAAGCCCACCAAGGCUACGAUCGGUAGCUGGUCUGAGAGGACGACCAGCCACACUGGGACUGAGACACGGCCCAGACUCCUACGGGAGGCAGCAGUGGGGAAUUUUGGACAAUGGGGGCAACCCUGAUCCAGCCAUGCCGCGUGCGGGAAGAAGGCCUUCGGGUUGUAAACCGCUUUCGGCCGGAACGAAAUCGCCGGUGAGAACAUCACCGGUGGAUGACGGUACCGAAGAAGAG
Molecule: ribosomal RNA, 484 nt
Filed under: uncultured Methylibium sp.
Lineage: Bacteria; Pseudomonadati; Pseudomonadota; Betaproteobacteria; Burkholderiales; Sphaerotilaceae
Description: bacterial SSU rRNA
Rfam family: Bacterial small subunit ribosomal RNA
Source: RNAcentral